Molecule: ribosomal RNA, 742 nt
Filed under: uncultured bacterium
Lineage: Bacteria
Description: bacterial SSU rRNA
Rfam family: Bacterial small subunit ribosomal RNA
Source: RNAcentral
UGGCGAACGGGUGAGUAACACGUGGGUGAUCUGCCGUGCACUUUGGUAAGCCUGGGAAACUGGGUCUAAUACCGAGUAGGACCGCAUGCUUCAUGGUGUGUGGUAAAGCUUUUGCGGUGUGGGAUGGGCCCGCGGCCUAUCAGCUUGUUGGUGGGGUAAUGGUACCAAGGCGACGACGGGUAGCCGGCCUGAGAGGGUGUCCGGCCACACUGGGACUGAGACGGCCCAGACUCCUACGGGAGGCAGCAGUGGGGAAUAUUGCACAAUGGGCGCAAGCCAUGCAGCGACGCCGCGUGGGGGAUGACGGCCUUCGGGUUGUAAACCUCUUUCAGUAUCCGAAGCUCCAGGAUUUUUCUUGGGGUGACGGUAGGUACAGAAGAAGCACCGGCCAACUGUGCCAGCAGCCGCGGUAAUACGUAGGGUGCGAGCGUUGUCCGGAAUUACUGGGCGUAGAGCUCGUAGGUGGUUUGUCACGUUGUCCGUGAAAACUCACAGCUUAACUGUGGGCGUGGGCGAUACGGGCAGACUAGAGUACUGUAGGGGAGACUGGAAUUCCUGGUGUAGCGGUAAUGCGCAGAUAUCAGGAGGAACACCGGUGGCGAAGGCGGGUCUCUGGGCAGUAACUGGCUGAGGAGCGAAAGCGUGGGGAGCGAACAGGAUUAGAUACCCUGGUAGUCCACGCCGAACGGUGGGUACUAGGUGUGGGUUUCCUUCCUUUAGGGAUCCGUGCCGUAGCUAACGC